RNAcentral lists this non-coding RNA (31 nucleotides) under Mus musculus (house mouse). Lineage: Eukaryota; Metazoa; Chordata; Mammalia; Rodentia; Muridae. The record is from RNAcentral.
UCCUCUUUCCCUGAGAGCUAUUUUUAAGCCU